UGCCAGCCGCCGCGGUAACACGGGGGGCGCAAGCGUUAUUCGGAAUUAUUGGGCGUAAAGGGCGCGUAGGCGGUCUUGUCGGUCAGAUGUGAAAGCCCAGGGCUCAACCCUGGACGUGCAUUUGAAACUGGCGAACUUGAGUACGGGAGAGGAAAGUGGAAUUCCGAGUGUAGGGGUGAAAUCCGUAGAUAUUCGGAGGAACACCAGUGGCGAAGGCGGCUUUCUGGACCGAUACUGACGCUGAGACGCGAAAGCGUGGGGAGCAAACAGGAUUAGAUA
Molecule: ribosomal RNA, 279 nt
Filed under: uncultured bacterium
Lineage: Bacteria
Description: partial 16S ribosomal RNA
Rfam family: Bacterial small subunit ribosomal RNA
Source: RNAcentral